CAAAUACUGAAAAUAAAUAAAUGAUAGAUUGCAAUAUUUUAGAGACUUACACAGUUUUAAACACAGUAUAAUACAAUGUUGUAAUGGCUGUGAAUUAUUUUCUGAACUACAGUGAAGAGGGGGCUGUGGCUGAUGACAGAAACAGCUCUGGGGAAAAGGCUGUUCUAGACAGCUCUAAUUUAAUCCUGUUGUUGCAUUAAGUUCGAGGUGUUCUGGCCAAAGAUAUAUCAAACAUGGGAUGAAUGCUUUGAAAAUGAGUCAGUCAUGUGCAUGUGUUACAGUUAUACUUUUAUAUCCACACCCAGAAAGUCCAGGAAACUCCCUCACAACUGUGAAUGCUAUGAUGAAGUUCAAGUCUUUACAGGAGCUGUAAUUGGGCCACAGCAGAGACGUUUCACGGGUCCUCCUCCUCCUCCUCCUCCUCUUCAUGCACAGAGCCGUUUGAGUGGCAGCUCACUGCUUCCUGAAGCUGCCUUCUGCACUUCGCUCCUUUCCUCAACCAAGUCCAUGUAUGGUAAGGGACUAAUAGAGUAGAUGGGAGGAGGGACAGCUGGGAACAGUCAAGGCCCUAGAGGUAAAAUUAACUCAAGAACAACUAUUUACUCUGAGGAACAGCAUAUUAAGGACUGGAGAGGAAUGGGAACACUUGGAGUACAGGAUAAUACAAAA
Long non-coding RNA from Pangasianodon hypophthalmus (striped catfish), 669 nucleotides. RefSeq lists it as uncharacterized. NCBI's taxonomy places the organism in Eukaryota, Metazoa, Chordata, Actinopteri, Siluriformes, Pangasiidae. The record is from RefSeq and is a predicted model, not a curated record. The transcript is spliced from 2 exons.